This 465-nucleotide ribosomal RNA is filed under the name uncultured bacterium. RNAcentral's name for it is "partial 16S ribosomal RNA". It matches the Rfam family "Bacterial small subunit ribosomal RNA", at positions 28 to 507 of the family's 1533-position model. The record is from RNAcentral.
GACGAACGCUGGCGGCGUGCUUAACACAUGCAAGUCGAACGGAAAGGCCCCUUUGGGGGUACUCGAGUGGCGCACGGGUGAGUAACACGUGAGUAACCUGCCCUUGACUUCGGGAUAACUUCAGGAAACUGGGGCUAAUACCGGAUAGGAAUCCUUGCUGCAUGGUGGGGGUUGGAAAGCUUCGGCGGUUUUGGAUGGACUGGCGGCUUAUCAGCUUGUUGGUGGGGUAGUGGCUUACCAAGGCUUUGACGGGUAGCCGGCCUGAGAGGGCGACCGGCCACAUUGGGACUGAGAUACGGCCCAGACGCCUACGGGAGGCAGCAGUGGGGAAUAUUGCACAAGGGGCGGAAGCCUGAUGCAGCAACGCCGCGGGCGGGAUGACGGCCUUCGGGUUGUAAACCGCUUUCAGCAGGGGCGAAGCUUGUGGUGACGGUACCUGCAGAAGAAGCACCGGCUAACUACGUG